Homo sapiens (human) is the source of this 328-nucleotide long non-coding RNA. Ensembl annotates it as TP53 target 1. Its record names the gene TP53TG1. Lineage: Eukaryota; Metazoa; Chordata; Mammalia; Primates; Hominidae. The record is from Ensembl.
GACGUCGGGGGCGAGCCGGGCCUGCGCGGUAGUGGGACCCGACCCUGUCUCCAGUGGGCGUCUUGGGCCCCGGCUCUAUUCUGGGCUGCGGGCCUGGGAAGGGCUCGCCGGGUGCCAAAUGAGCUGUCCUAACUCUGCGGGGCUGCAGCUUCCUGCAUGAUGCUGGGGAGCUUGGCGCCUGACCCAGGAUCUAGAAGGCACUCUGGGCAGGCCGCGCUCCGCCCACGAAGAUAAACUGCCAGGGAGAAGAAUGAGAAGACAGGAGACAAACUGUUUGGAAAGCUAAAUCUUCCCUCUUAAUGAAUAAAGGUUUUUGCCUUGUCUUAAA